Molecule: long non-coding RNA, 1126 nt
Filed under: Canis lupus familiaris (dog)
Lineage: Eukaryota; Metazoa; Chordata; Mammalia; Carnivora; Canidae
Description: lncRNA (ENSCAFG00000054025.1)
Source: RNAcentral
CCACAGCUCACCUGCGCUCACCUGUGCCCAGGACACGCGGCACGGAGCCGCCGGCCUGUCCACGGAGCCCCGUCUCUGCCUGCCUGCCGCGUGGCCCCCCCGCGGGCCGCUCCCCGUGCUGGCAGGCGAGGGAGGAUCCUGACCACGCCGCGUCUCCGCACUGCAGGCCCCGGCACAGACCUGGGGUUGUCUCCACGCCAGCCCCGGCUUCCAGGUGAAGUCACGGUGAGUCAGAGCCCCGCCUCUGGUCCUGAGCUGGGGGGGCAGGUGCCACUGCAAGAACGGGGCCGGUCCGGUGGGUCCCGUGGCCGGGGGUGGGUUCCCUGGGGGCCUGGGGGUCCCGGAGAAGGAGGUGCAUCGUGAGCUGAGCGGCGUGCCGGCUCCCAGGAAGAGCUGAUUGAUAGCUUAGCACCAUCUGGUUUUCGUCAUUCUGGUGUCAUGCUUUUUAUAAACACAGGACGAAAAAAUAUUUUGUCUCCAAUAAAUGUAUCACGGUAUAUCGGCUAUCUCGUAUUAGCAGUUUUAUCUCCUGACUUUUUUAGAAACCAAGAAAUCAAUAGCCUACUUUUAGACUGCGAUCUAAAAGUACCCGUGGGUGUCCUUUCCCAAGCACACUGGGCGGAAUUAAAUAAAACAAGGAAACACACAUUUUUCUCAGACGCAGCUUUGGUUGGACUCGGGGACGGCGGCGGAGCAGACGUCAAAAGAACAAGAAAAAGGUUGUCCUCGGAGUGGGACGAUUGAAAUCCACCCGCAAGGCACGCGGGUCACCCGCCUGCGAAAACGGUGACUAUGACCAGGGCGCGGUCUCCCCGGGACAUGUCGGGAGUGGGGGCGUCACAGGGAGGUGGCAUCGGCCCCCCCGGCCACCUGGUGUGAGCAGGAGGUGUGGGCAGCCCACGGCCUGGAAAGGAUGGGCAGGAAGCCAGGCGGCGACCACUGGGUGGUCCCUCCCCACGCGGGUCAUGUGGGUCGCCUCUGGCUGCUAUGCCCGCGGGCCUGGAACGCUUCCGUCAACUGCCGUCUGUCUGUCCGGGAGCCGGGAUGUGAAUGAAGCCCAGCGGCCCCAGGGUGGUCGGGCUGGGCCCUCGCUGCUCCUUCCCCAGUUCCCGCGUGGGCUCCCCAG